CUACGGGAUGCUCCAGCAGGGGAUUUUCUGCAAUGCACGAAAGUGUGACAGAGCGAGCCAGAGUGUUUUUCUAUAUUUGAAAAACUUUUGUUUGCUGUAAAAAGGCGGACGAAUAAGGACUGGGCAAGACCGGUGCCAGCCGCCGCGGUAAUCCCGGCGGUCCGAGUCGCAGCCACUUUUAUUGGGUCUAAAACAUUCGUAGCUUGUAAUGUAAGUCUCUUGUGAAAUCUCAUAUCUCAAGUAUGAGGCAUGCAGGGGAAACUACAUUACUGGAGACCGGAGGACGUAAGAAGUACAGUUGAGGUAGUGGUUAAAUACGUUAAUCUCAAUUGGACUAACAACAGCGAAGACAUCUUACGAUUACGGAUCUGACAGUAAGGGAUGAAGGCCAGGGGCGCAAAACGGAUUAGAUACCCCUGUAGUC
This 424-nucleotide ribosomal RNA is filed under the name uncultured archaeon. RNAcentral describes it as "partial 16S ribosomal RNA". It matches the Rfam family "Archaeal small subunit ribosomal RNA", at positions 323 to 746 of the family's 1478-position model. The record is from RNAcentral.